CAGCACCGCGGUAAUACGGAGGGGGCUAGCGUUGUUCGGAAUUACUGGGCGUAAAGCGCACGUAGGCGGCUUGGUAAGUUAGAGGUGAAAGCCCGGAGCUCAACUCCGGAAUUGCCUUUAAGACUGCCGAGCUAGCAGGUGAGAGAGGUAAGUGGAAUUCCGAGUGUAGAGGUGAAAUUCGUAGAUAUUCGGAAGAACACCAGUGGCGAAGGCGGCUUACUGGCUCAUACUGGACGCUGAGGUGCGAAAGCGUGGGGAGCAAACAGGAUUAGAUACCCGUGUAGUCCCUGUCUCUUAUACA
RNAcentral lists this ribosomal RNA (301 nucleotides) under uncultured bacterium. RNAcentral's name for it is "partial 16S ribosomal RNA". It matches the Rfam family "Bacterial small subunit ribosomal RNA", at positions 509 to 808 of the family's 1533-position model. The record is from RNAcentral.